Molecule: ribosomal RNA, 271 nt
Filed under: uncultured archaeon
Lineage: Archaea
Description: partial 16S ribosomal RNA
Rfam family: Archaeal small subunit ribosomal RNA
Source: RNAcentral
CAGCGCCACGAGUGGGAACCACAAUUAUUGGGCCUAAAGCGUUCGUAGCCGGUUGUUUAAAUCUUUUGUGAAAUCGUCAGGCUUAACCUGACGGACUGCAGAAGAGACUGGACAACUAGGGACCGGAAGGGGUUAGGAGUAUUCAAAGGGGAGCGGUAAAAUGCAAUAAUCCUUUGAGGACUACCUGUGGCGAAGGCGCCUAACCAGUACGGGUCCGACGGUGAGGAACGAAAGCUAGGGGAGCAAUCCGGAUUAGAGACCCGAGUAGUCC